GAUGAACGCUGGCGGCGUGCCUAAUACAUGCAAGUCGAGCGAACAGAUAAGGAGCUUGCUCCUUUGACGUUAGCGGCGGACGGGUGAGUAACACGUGGGUAACCUACCUAUAAGACUGGGAUAACUUCGGGAAACCGGAGCUAAUACCGGAUAACAUUUGGAACCGCAUGGUUCUAAAGUGAAAGAUGGUUUUGCUAUCACUUAUAGAUGGACCCGCGCCGUACUAGCUAGUUGGUAAGGUAACGGCUUACCAAGGCAACGAUACGUAGCCGACCUGAGAGGGUGAUCGGCCACACUGGAACUGAGACACGGUCCAGACUCCUACGGGAGGCAGCAGUAGGGAAUCUUCCGCAAUGGGCGAAAGCCUGACGGAGCAACGCCGCGUGAGUGAUGAAGGGUUUCGGCUCGUAAAACUCUGUUAUUAGGGAAGAACAAACGUGUAAGUAACUGUGCACGUCUUGACGGUACCUAAUCAGAAAGCCACGGCUAACUACGUG
RNAcentral lists this ribosomal RNA (497 nucleotides) under uncultured bacterium. RNAcentral describes it as "partial 16S ribosomal RNA". It matches the Rfam family "Bacterial small subunit ribosomal RNA", at positions 28 to 507 of the family's 1533-position model. The record is from RNAcentral.